This 481-nucleotide long non-coding RNA is filed under the name Vigna radiata. RNAcentral's name for it is "long non-coding RNA (VRAD_LNC006757)". The record is from RNAcentral. Lineage: Eukaryota; Viridiplantae; Streptophyta; Magnoliopsida; Fabales; Fabaceae.
UAAGUCUCAUAAAACAAAAUUGUCAUUCAUCUCAAACAAUCAACAUCUUUACAUGCAAAUGCCUUUAAAAGGACUUUUCCAAGGCUUGUAAUGAGGUUGAGCUAACAAGAAAGAAUUGGUUUUUCUAGAAUGCAAAAUCCUUGAAUCAAGAGAGCUAACAAAAUAUUCAACAUUUAAGCACCACUCUCACCAAUGUCUCUCAUUCCCAAUUUUUCCCUUUUCUUUUUCUUUUGCAUUGAGCUCUUCUUCAUGCUUUUCUUCUUUUCUUUUCUUUUUCUCAAGAAUUUUCUCUUUUCACAACAAUUGAGCUCAAUGCCUUUCACUAGCUUUUUCAAUUUUCACCCGUACAACCCCAAACUUGAACCUUUUCAUCACAUACAAUUUAGCUCAUCCUAACUCAAGGUAAAGAAUUUCAAAACAAGGGGUCACAUCCUAUUUACGGCUAAGGUUCAAAAAGGGUAUAAUAUUUCAAACACUUUGG